GGCGUUGUGGUGAAAUUGGUAGACACGCUACUUUGAGGGGGUAGUGCCGGUUCUGGCAUGGGAGUUCGAGUCUCCCCAACGUCA
This 84-nucleotide transfer RNA is filed under the name Siphonobacter aquaeclarae. It matches the Rfam family "tRNA". Rfam says of the family: Transfer RNA (tRNA) molecules are approximately 80 nucleotides in length. Their secondary structure includes four short double-helical elements and three loops (D, anti-codon, and T loops). The record is from Rfam by way of RNAcentral. Lineage: Bacteria; Pseudomonadati; Bacteroidota; Cytophagia; Cytophagales; Cytophagaceae.